Molecule: ribosomal RNA, 494 nt
Filed under: uncultured bacterium
Lineage: Bacteria
Description: partial 16S ribosomal RNA
Rfam family: Bacterial small subunit ribosomal RNA
Source: RNAcentral
ACUCAAAGGAAUUGACGGGGACCCGCACAAGCGGUGGAUGAUGUGGUUUAAUUCGAUGCAACGCGAAAAACCUUACCUACCCUUGACAUGCCUCGAACCUCGCAGAGACGCGAGGGUGCCCGAAAGGGAGCGAGGACACAGGUGCUGCAUGGCUGUCGUCAGCUCGUGUCGUGAGAUGUUGGGUUAAGUCCCGCAACGAGCGCAACCCUUACCAUUAGUUGCUACGCAAGGGCACUCUAAUGGGACUGCCGGUGACAAACCGGAGGAAGGUGGGGAUGACGUCAAGUCCUCAUGGCCCUUAUGGGUAGGGCUACACACGUCAUACAAUGGCUGGUACAGAGGGUUGCCAACCCGCGAGGGGGAGCUAAUCUCACAAAACCAGUCGUAGUCCGGAUCGCAGUCUGCAACUCGACUGCGUGAAGUCGGAAUCGCUAGUAAUCGUGGAUCAGCAUGUCACGGUGAAUACGUUCCCGGGUCUUGUACACACCGCCCGU